Molecule: non-coding RNA, 481 nt
Organism: Rattus norvegicus (Norway rat)
Lineage: Eukaryota; Metazoa; Chordata; Mammalia; Rodentia; Muridae
Source: RefSeq, a predicted model, not a curated record
GUUUUGCUGGCAUGGCUAAGAUAGUCCCCAUUAUCUGUCUUAGAACAUAUUUGUGACCUCUUACUCAUGGUCAUUCCUGGCACAACAACUGUGGAAAAUACUUCUCCUUCAAGGUCCAACAUUGAAGCUUAUAAUUUCAUAAAGACCCAGACUUCCUUUUUCUUGGGAGGCAACUCUUGGAGGUGUGUCUGGAAUAAGACGAGAGUUAAAUCAAUCCUGGCGGAAAAGAAGAUGGCUUAAGAGUCUCCUUUCUUGUUGCCAAAAGCUUUACUGUGUUUCCUGUCUUCAAUAUGGAUCCACUCAGAAGGACUAAUUUGCAAUCCAAUCCUGGAUAAGGGAAAAUGAGAGAUAAGGGGAAAUGAACGGUGAAGUUGCAAUGUUCAUCUGUUAAGAUAUUGCACUAUUUAGUUAAAUAAACUUGGAAGACAAUGCUGCACUCUACGGCAACCUACAGCAUCUCCCAGCGAGUUGCAUGGUGACU